Molecule: non-coding RNA, 147 nt
Organism: Lonchura striata (white-rumped munia)
Lineage: Eukaryota; Metazoa; Chordata; Aves; Passeriformes; Estrildidae
Source: RefSeq, a predicted model, not a curated record
ACAAAAACCCAAGUGCUGCUACUUGGCCAAAUCAUUGUGUGCUAAAGAAAUAGCAACUUUGGAUACAGAUUCCAACUGUGGAGCAAGUCAGCAAGGCCUUAAGAGGGAGAAGUUGUGUAAAGAGUGGAUUUCCUGACCAGCUGCCAU